Molecule: unclassified non-coding RNA, 495 nt
Filed under: Hevea brasiliensis (rubber tree)
Lineage: Eukaryota; Viridiplantae; Streptophyta; Magnoliopsida; Malpighiales; Euphorbiaceae
Source: RNAcentral
GAUAAUCACAAAGGAAUCCCUUUUGGCUGCACAGAGGGAAGAUUUGCGCAGAGUAAUGGAACUGCUAUCACUAAGGGAACACCAUGCAAGGACCUUAUUGAUACAUUACCGUUGGGAUGUUGAAAGACUAUUUGCUGUGUUUGUAGAGAAGGGGAAAUCAUGCUUGUUUACUGAAGCAGGUGUUACUGUGGUUGAGCAACUAGAUAUUGAUUCACCCCUCACUUCGUCUUCUACGAUAACGUGUGAUAUAUGCAUAGAGGAUGUAUCUAGCAAUAAGGUCACAAGAAUGGACUGUGGCCAUUGUUUUUGCAAUGAUUGUUGGACAGAGCACUUCAUUGUGAAAAUCAAUGAGGGUCAGAGUAGGCGCAUCCGGUGCAUGGCGCACAAAUGUAAUGCUAUCUGUGAUGAAGCUGUUGUCAGAAGUCUAGUCAGUAAAAAGCAUCCUGAUUUGGCAGAGAAAUUUGAUCGUUUUCUUCUUGAAUCAUACAUUGAGGA